UACGAAGGGGGCAAGCGUUGUCCGGAGUUACUGGGCGUAAAGGGCACGCAGGCGGUGCGGCGCGUUUCGCGUGACAGCGGAGGGCUUAACUCUCCGAGGAUGCGAAAGACGGCGGCACUUGAGGGCCAGAGAGGGACACGGAAUUCCGGGUGGAGUGGUGAAAUGCGUAGAGAUCCGGAGGAACACCGAAGGCGAAGGCAGUGUCCUGGCUGGUGACUGACGCUGAGGUGCGAAAGCUAGGGGAGCGAACGGG
This 253-nucleotide ribosomal RNA is filed under the name uncultured bacterium. RNAcentral describes it as "partial 16S ribosomal RNA". It matches the Rfam family "Bacterial small subunit ribosomal RNA", at positions 524 to 776 of the family's 1533-position model. The record is from RNAcentral.